GACGAACGCUGGCGGCGUGCCUAAUACAUGCAAGUGGGACGCAAGGACACACACUGUGCUUGCACACCGUGUUUUCUUGAGUCGCGAACGGGUGAGUAACGCGUAGGUAACCUGCCUAUUAGCGGGGGAUAACUAUUGGAAACGAUAGCUAAUACCGCAUAAUAUUAAUUAUUGCAUGAUAAUUGAUUGAAAGAUGCAAGCGCAUCACUAGUAGAUGGACCUGCGUUGUAUUAGCUAGUUGGUAAGGUAAGAGCUUACCAAGGCGACGAUACAUAGCCGACCUGAGAGGGUGAUCGGCCACACUGGGACUGAGACACGGCCCAGACUCCUACGGGAGGCAGCAGUAGGGAAUCUUCGGCAAUGGACGAAAGGCUGACCGAGCAACGCCGCGUGAGUGAAGAAGGUUGUCGGAUCGUAAAGCUCUGUUGUAAGUCAAGAACGUGUGUGAGAGUGGAAAGUUCACACAGUGACGGUAGCUUACCAGAAAGGGACGGCUAACUACGUG
This 505-nucleotide ribosomal RNA is filed under the name uncultured bacterium. Its description in RNAcentral is "partial 16S ribosomal RNA". It matches the Rfam family "Bacterial small subunit ribosomal RNA", at positions 28 to 507 of the family's 1533-position model. The record is from RNAcentral.